CCCUUAGAUGCUCUGGGCCGCACGCGCGCUACACUGAUGCAUUCAACGAGUUUCUUCCUGGUCCGAGAGGAAUGGGUAACCUUUUGAAAGUGCAUCGUGAUAGGGAUAGACUAUUGCAAUUAUUGGUCCUCAACGAGGAAUUCCUAGUAGACGUAGUUCAUCAGACUGCAUCGAUUACGUCCCUGCCCUUUGUACACACCGCCCGUCGCUCCUACCGAUUGAAUGCUCAGGUGAGCCAUUCGGACUUUCAUCAUGCUGGUUUCCAGUUUUGAUGAAGGAAAGUCUUGCGAACCUUAUCAUUUAGAGGAAGGAGAAGUCGUAACA
Molecule: ribosomal RNA, 324 nt
Filed under: uncultured eukaryote
Lineage: Eukaryota
Description: partial 18S ribosomal RNA
Rfam family: Eukaryotic small subunit ribosomal RNA
Source: RNAcentral